AGAGUUUGAUCAUGGCUCAGGAUGAACGCUGGCGGCGUGCCUAACACAUGCAAGUCGAGCGAUUCUCUUCGGAGAAGAGCGGCGGACGGGUGAGUAACGCGUGGGUAACCUGCCUCAUACACAUGGAUAACAUACCGAAAGGUAUGCUAAUACAGGAUAACAUAAGAGAUUCACAUGGAUUUCUUAUCAAAGCUCCGGCGGUAUGAGAUGGACCCGCGUCUGAUUAGCUAGUUGGUAAGGUAACGGCUUACCAAGGCGACGAUCAGUAGCCGACCUGAGAGGGUGAUCGGCCACAUUGGAACUGAGACACGGUCCAAACUCCUACGGGAGGCAGCAGUGGGGAAUAUUGCACAAUGGGCGAAAGCCUGAUGCCAGCAACGCCGCGUGAGUGAUGAAGGCUUUCGGGUCGUAAAACUCUGUCCUCAAGGAAGAUAAUGACGGUACUUGAGGAGGAAGCCCCGGCUAACUACGUGCCAGCAGCCGC
This 484-nucleotide ribosomal RNA is filed under the name uncultured bacterium. Its description in RNAcentral is "bacterial SSU rRNA". It matches the Rfam family "Bacterial small subunit ribosomal RNA", at positions 8 to 518 of the family's 1533-position model. The record is from RNAcentral.